GUCUUAAUAAUUUAAUUGAAAAUAUUGGUCUUGUAAACCAAAAACAAAAGCCCCCCUUUUUAGGACA
RNAcentral lists this transfer RNA (67 nucleotides) under Apoderus jekelii. Its description in RNAcentral is "tRNA-Thr". It matches the Rfam family "tRNA". From Rfam's summary of the family: Transfer RNA (tRNA) molecules are approximately 80 nucleotides in length. The record is from RNAcentral. Lineage: Eukaryota; Metazoa; Arthropoda; Insecta; Coleoptera; Attelabidae.